UAGAGCUUUGUUGUUUUUCACAAAUUUCAGCAACGUUAAAUUAUUAAUUUUUAUAUGCCCGUCUUAAGACAGGACGUAUUAUGUCAUAGGCUUCAUGUCUAUCUGUCAGUCUGUCUUUUCGUGUCCUGCUCAUAACUUCAAUACUAUUAGGCCUUAUAAGGAUUAUCAAACUUUGUCAACCGAUACUUCUUUGGUAGUAGUUUGCUCUGAACUUUAAUAAAGAUGCUAUGGCCAAAUUUGGAAAAAUCCUGUCUGGCUCAUAACUAAAAUCCUGUCCCACUCAUAACGAGAAAACUAUUAGACCUAGAUCUAUCAAACUUGGCAAAAGUAUACAUCUUAGGUAGAAGGUGUGUCACGACCUAUUUCAAGGUCAAUAUGUUACCUUUAAUUUUUAAAUUAGUGAAAUUUAAAUAAAAGUUUUUUAAAUUUUAAAUUUCAUUAUCCUAAAAAUGUAAAAAAUAGAUUUGUAUCCUUAUUAAAAAGUAUUAAAUCAAGUAAAAACAUUUUUUUUUCAUCAUAUACUUUACUUCAAUCUUAAACAAAUUUCAAUAUUAAUGAGAGGAAUUCAGUUUGUCCCAUGUGCAUAAUUACUGUAAACGUGGAAAUUUUGAUGAUGUGCUAAUUUUUACUAUAUUGAAGAUUCUUCUUUUCUCGUCAAAAUUUGCACUUGUCAAACUUCUUAUCAUAUUCAAAGAGACACAACAGACAUUGACCAUUGUACAAUUUACCCCUAAACUUUUAACAUCUUUUUCGUUUGGCAACGACAUCAAAGUCACUGUUAAUUUAUUUUGUAAUUAGUUAAGAAAACAUAGUGAUAUAAAAUCACAUUUUUAAAAACCAUUGAAUCUAAAUUAGUGUAUCAAAUACUGCAAGCGUAAUUUAGCGUAUAUAAUCAUCACACCGUGCUUGACCUUGUUUGUUACCUCAGGCAUUUGACCGCUUAUAAUGAAAUCAAAUAACAAGAGGGCAAUUUAUUUAAUCAAAUCUUACACACAAAAAUAGUUUGUGCAAAAAUUAUAUUUUAGUGAUUCCAACACUGCCUUUGUAUCACUGUGAAUUCAAAGAUUUUAAACUCUAGAUUAAAUAUUUCGUCAAGAUUAACACUCGUCAAUUUUCGUAAACAAAAAAUUGUCAAUUUUUCAACUCGUCAAUAUAAGGACGUUUACAGUAUCAAGCACUGGUCAAGAAGAAUUUUGAUAGCAGAAAGUUGCAUGUCAAAUUAGAGAGAAAUUAAUGAGUUUAGUGUGAGGAGGUAACUAGUAGAUCAUUGGUGUUAUCUAUUUCCCUUGGAUAUUGAGCAAAUGGACAGCCAGCCUAGCUAAAAUAGAUAAAAAAUAGCUCUUGUUCCUAGCUUAAGUUUUAAAAUGAAUUUGAUGAAAAGUAAUUAAAACUUAUUUGAUAUUGCAUAAUAUACUAAUAAUCUGAUAUUAUAUAAUAUUAAUUAAUUAAAAACUAAUUUUAUGGGGUGGGGUUUAAUCAGCAUUUCUACUUGUCCAUAUGAAUUAAAUAUCAAACCUGUCUUGCAUUAAAUCUAAAAAGAAAUCAUGGAGUAUUUUAUAUGUUUUAAAGUGUUUUAGGAUAAAAAGUGCAGAUCCAUUAAUAUUUAGGGAGUAAUGAAUAGACAAGCAUCCAGUUAAAGAUUAAUUAAUGAGUUUAAUGUAGGAAGGCUAUCUGAUCAAGUGCUGCCUAAUAUCUGUAUCCUUUGGGGAUUAGACAGAAAAAUUGCUGGUCAGUUUAUAGCAUACCGGUAUGUCAUUUGAUGGCUAGCCCUUCUUUUCAAAAUUAAUUUGGCAUAGAUUACCGUAAUUUGAUAUUGUUUAUUAUGAUGCCGGCAUUUGACAAAGUCUUACACAAACAGUAUAAUAGUCUCUCAGUUUUGUAAUAUUUGUUAUAAUUAUGCCUACAGCGCAGGGGAUGGAUAAAGAAAUAUUUUUUUAAAAAAUUAAAAAAUCAUGGAAAUCUUAGAAUCAAGGUUGACAUGAUUUUCUUGCACUCUAAACUGUUAAAGAUAAUUGUGUAAUAUUUUGACAGGCGUAUCAUGCUGUGGCGUGGCACUUUAUUGUCAUAGGGUUCAAUAAGCGUUGAUUGGUGACGUCACAACUGCAUCAAAAAAAAAAUUAGAGAAUGUGACGUCGGUGCAGCUUGUAUCCAGAUAACUGUAUUUAAAAGGCAAAAACUUAAAGAAUUGUUUGUGAUUUAUUAGAGAAAAAAAAGGACACUAUAAAUCAGGUAUACUGAUUUUACAGCUGUUACUUUUUAUUUACUGAAAACAACAAGCCGCAACCAAGGCUUAAAAAAAAAGUUUGUUUCCUGUAACAUUCCCAAAAAAUCAAGGGUCAGUAGGUCAGAAAUUCUUUUUUUGCUUAUGAAUGGUGAAACAUCCUUGGAAUGAAAAUAAAUACCAGGUGUUAUAUUUACAGUGGACACCCAACAUGGCAUCCAACAGGGCUGCCAAGCGCAGAAAACAAACUUCAGAAAGUUGUACGGGGAAACUGUUGUUAGAAUAAUGAUUAUUCUUUAUUUUUUAAGGUAAAUAAAAACUAGGUUGACAUAUUUUAUGUCUCAAAUUAAGCUACAAGCUAUUUUUAAAAAUUUAAUUAAUGGAAUCAGCUGAUUACGUAAUCAAACAAAGUUUUGCCAUUUGUCAGAAAAAGAAAAUCCACCCGGGGAUAAUUUGAAUGGGUUUAUCAGGUUGCAGGAAACAAACAAAUAUUUUUUUAGGCCUUAUGUAAGCCACGAUUUCCUCUGAUUUUCUUAACAACAUCAAAGAAUCCAAAUAUAAGUACAUGUAAUAAAAAACGAUUAUAUAUGCCAGCAGAGCUAUUGCUAUUCAUAAUGCCACGUUCACUGAAUAACGUUUAUUUCUUAAAUGGAGGCGUCAUAUUUUACACUUGAUCAAUUUUUUAAAAUUGGCUCAUAGUAAUUUAAAUGAUUCACAUCUGCUCAUUAAAGGCCUUACACAAUUGAAGUUCCAUAUAUACGAGAGUUGUCCCAAAAAGUCGUAGACAAUGUUUAUAAUUUUUUAAACAUGCAACCAUUACCAUGAUUAUAUUUUAACCUCAACAGGACUCAAAAUCAGUUCGCUAUAUCCGUAAAUUUGUUAUAUCAGAGUUCGUUAUACCAGUCAGGGGUGUGAUUGAAAUCCAUCAUUUUUAAAAAUGAUGAUUUUCAGUCAUUAAAUUGAUUUUUAAUAAUGAUGGAAAUUCAUCUUUUUUUUAGUAAAAUGAUGAAAAACAGUCAUUUCUAUUUUGAAAUUUAUUUUAGAAAUAGAGUUAUCUCUGAUUUUAAAAAUGACUGUUUUUCAUCAUUUUUUAUCAAAUUGUUAGGUCUGGGCGCACUUAAUUAUCUAAUUAGUUUUACGGGGCGCACUAAAUUAUUUUGGUUUCAAUUACUUGUCAAGAUGAUUCUCUACACAAGGGUCUAUGGCAGGAUAGUGUACUAUAUCUAAUUACUGGAGUAAAUGGGAUGGGAAAAUUGACUUGAGAAUGGAAAUAUGAUGAAAAGACAUCAUAUUUACAAAAAUCAGAAAAUUGUGUACAUUAUAUACUUAGAAGAAAUGACCAUUAUCCAUCAUUUUCAAAAAUGACUGAUUUCAGUACCACCCCUGUGUUAUAACCGUAAAAUUUUACAAAGAUUUGUUGAGAAUUUUGUUUGCCAGGGACCAAGAAAAAACUUUGCUAUAUCCAUGAGUUUGCUAAUAUAUCCGUGUUCAUACUAAACGAGUUUUACUGUUAGUAUAAAAUAAAUUUAAUUAAUGAGAAUUCUCAAUCAUUUUACUAUUCAAAAGAUGAGAAUUAAAGACUGAAUUUUUAUUUUUUUUUCAUUUUAUAUAUACAGUACACAUAUACUCACUAAUUGGGGGCUCGAUCAUGUAAUGAAUUAAAGGAUAGGAGCAUUACAUGGAGACUUGUUAAGUGGGCCACAAUGACUCCGGUGGCUCCGGAGGAUACCCCUGCCUUUGAGCAGAUAAUACAAUUAAUGGAUACUUGAACUGACAUCUUAAACAUUAUAUUUCUUUUGAAUAAAAUUGUGUUCAUAUCUAGAUUACAAUAUUAUCAAUAAAAUGUUACAUAGGAAAGGGAUAUUCAACAUUAUUUCUUCUAUGAGGCCUGGAAAUUAGAAACACCUACUGGGAAAUUAUGUUACCUGGCAAUUUUAGGAAAAUAAACUAAUUUUAAAAAAAUUUGAACUUCAAUUUAACUACCACUUCGAGGAAAGAUCUAUUUUGACUAAUAUUUUGUCAUCAGGAAGACUUGAUGUUUUUAAAAUCUUUUUUGUUCAUUUGCUUUAAGCAUGUUAAGCCAACACCAUUCUUGUUUUAUGCAAAAGCACGAUUUUGUUUUAAUGCAUUUGAAAAUUGAACACACUGUUGAUAGUCACUGUAUAAAUUCUUUCAAUCAAUUAUACUUUGUGUCUAAACCCGGUUGUCUAGAAGCAAUUCUAGCAAAUGGAUGGGUUUUAUACUUAUCAAUAUUUUGGUUUCAAAUUCCAAAUUGAAUUACUGUAAUUAAAUGUUUAUGUGUAACUUAUUUGAAUUGCAAGAAUGAAAAAAAAAUUCCAGGCAGCUGUUAAAAAAACUACUUUUUUUUAAAAUCUGACAACUCAAAUAAAUACUCGGUAAAUAUACAUUGAUUUAAACAUUACUUAGAAAUAGAUCAUUCUUAGAUUGUGUUAAAAUAUGGAAUUUUCCUUAUCUAUUCAAGAUGCUGAAUAUGCUAGCUAACAUCUUAAAUUUUAGAAAAAUAAAUUUUCAUUUUAAAGAACUUCAGUGACCCUCUUCCCCUCCAAAGGUGUCAGUUUAAUAUAUCUCGCAAAUUGGGGGA
Molecule: long non-coding RNA, 4823 nt
Organism: Saccostrea cuccullata (small rock oyster)
Lineage: Eukaryota; Metazoa; Mollusca; Bivalvia; Ostreida; Ostreidae
Exons: 2
Source: RefSeq, a predicted model, not a curated record